Long non-coding RNA from Coffea eugenioides, 521 nucleotides. RefSeq lists it as uncharacterized. The transcript has 2 exons. The record is from RefSeq and is a predicted model, not a curated record. Lineage: Eukaryota; Viridiplantae; Streptophyta; Magnoliopsida; Gentianales; Rubiaceae.
CUUUCUUAAGCAAGUUGGAGUACCUUCUAGUCAACAAUAGAGGACUGCAGGGAUAACGCAUUCUUCAUCUUGCCUGCUGUUCGGAAGUGUAGAUGAUUUUUUGCUUUCAAUUGAGGCAGACAAGUGAUUGUCCUAAAUUGUUAGCUAGUGUCAACAUUGCCAUUUCUUGGUCACCCUUCGGAGUAAUUGGAGGAUUUACCAUGUCCUUGUAGUUUGAGACUGACAUAUAUUGCUCUGAUAAAAGUGUUUCAAGAGGUCUCCAAGUUUCUGAAGCCGCUAUAUAUGCAGCUUUGUUGCUGAAUAGUUCUAUUGGAGAAUGAUAUCUCACCUUAAAAUUCACACAGGUACAGCAAUCAUGACCAUGUAAACUUAUUGCAAUUCCUCGACCAAACAGGAAACAGCGAAAGAAGAAAAUGACUGCAUCUUAUUCAGUUAUGUUCGCAGUGUCAAAGUUCUUUUCAAUAUUAACUUUCAGUCGUCCCUCUAGCUUUCCAUGGUCUAAUAUAUUGGACAUUUUCUCU